AGUCGUAACAAGGUUUCCGUAGGUGAACCUGCGGAAGGAUCAUUACAAAUCCAAAACAAUGACCCUGUUGAAAUGUGUUCUUCCCUUGGAAGGAGAGAGAGAGAGAGAGCAGAGUAUUAUGCAUAUAUUAUUUUGAUAUGUGCAUAUAUUUCUCCUCACCACCUCCCUCCCCAAGGGAAGGUUUAAUCUUAAAAACUCUUUUGAUGGACUAGCCAAUGUGAUAACAUUUUUAAUGUUUAAACAACUUUUAACAAUGGAUCUCUUGGCUCUU
Molecule: unclassified non-coding RNA, 271 nt
Filed under: fungal sp.
Lineage: Eukaryota; Fungi
Description: partial internal transcribed spacer region
Rfam family: Eukaryotic small subunit ribosomal RNA (bases 1-45)
Source: RNAcentral